RNAcentral lists this transfer RNA (69 nucleotides) under Paguma larvata (masked palm civet). RNAcentral's name for it is "tRNA-His". It matches the Rfam family "tRNA". From Rfam's summary of the family: Transfer RNA (tRNA) molecules are approximately 80 nucleotides in length. Their secondary structure includes four short double-helical elements and three loops (D, anti-codon, and T loops). Further hydrogen bonds mediate the characteristic L-shaped molecular structure. tRNAs have two regions of fundamental functional importance: the anti-codon, which is responsible for specific mRNA codon recognition, and the 3' end, to which the tRNAs corresponding amino acid is attached (by aminoacyl-tRNA synthetases). tRNAs cope with the degeneracy of the genetic code in two manners: having more than one tRNA (with a specific anti-codon) for a particular amino acid; and 'wobble' base-pairing, i.e. permitting non-standard base-pairing at the 3rd anti-codon position. Lineage: Eukaryota; Metazoa; Chordata; Mammalia; Carnivora; Viverridae. The record is from RNAcentral.
GUAAAUAUAGUUUAACCAAAACAUUAGAUUGUGAAUCUAAUAAUAGAAGUUUAAACCUUCUUAUUUACC